This is a non-coding RNA of Vicia faba (fava bean), 261 nucleotides long. The record is from the annotation of a GenBank genome assembly. Lineage: Eukaryota; Viridiplantae; Streptophyta; Magnoliopsida; Fabales; Fabaceae.
AUGGAUUUACCCUCCGCAUUCAUCUCUCCUAGGCCAAACCCCUUAUGCACACUCUCAAAACCUCUUGCCACACUACCUACAUGUCCAUUGAGACCCCUCUUAGAAAAAGCUUAUCUCAUUGGGGGAUAUCCUAAAGUAGACCUUCUAAAUCCUCCCAAAGUUUUACCUCGAGGUGUUAUGUUAAAGAUUGUUGGCUCAAUACAGCUCCUCUGUUGCAGUUGCAAGGAUUCUUUUGAAUGCUAUAGCCAUGGUAGAUUUUGA